GUGCUCACUUUGGCAGCACAUAUACUAAAAUUGGAAUGAUACAUGGCCCUUGUGCAAGAAUGACAUGUACAUUCAUGAAGCAGUCCAUAUCUAU
Molecule: small nuclear RNA, 94 nt
Filed under: Pan paniscus (pygmy chimpanzee)
Lineage: Eukaryota; Metazoa; Chordata; Mammalia; Primates; Hominidae
Source: RNAcentral